CCUACGGGCGGCAGCAGUGGGGAAUAUUGGGCAAUGGACGCAACCCUGACCCAGCAACGCCGCGUGAAGGACGAAGGCUUUCGGAUUGUAAACUUCUUUUAUCAGGGACGAAGCAAGUGACGGUACCUGAUGAAUAAGCCACGGCUAACUACGUGCCAGCAGCCGCGGUAAUACGUAGGUGGCAAGCGUUAUCCGGAAUGACUGGGGGUAAAGGGCGUGUAGGGGGGAGUGCAAGUCAGAUGUGAAAACUAUGGGCUCAACCCAUAGCCUGCUAUUUAAACUGUUCGUCUUGAGUGCAGGAGAGGCAAUCGGAAUUCCGGGUGUAGCGGUGGAAUGCGUAGAUAUACGGAGGAACACCAGUGGCGAAGGCGGGUUGCUAGACUGUAACUGACGCUGAGGCGCGAAAGCGUGGGGAGCAAACAGGAUUAGAUACCCGUGUAGUC
This 443-nucleotide ribosomal RNA is filed under the name uncultured bacterium. RNAcentral's name for it is "partial 16S ribosomal RNA". It matches the Rfam family "Bacterial small subunit ribosomal RNA", at positions 338 to 795 of the family's 1533-position model. The record is from RNAcentral.